UUGAGCCUUGGUUGUUACCUUUUUCAUGAUCUGGAUGAUUCUUACCCCUCAUUUCCCCAGCACCUUCUGUGGGACAUAGUGACCCCAGCUGAGGCUUCCUAGUGCCUGCCAGACUAUUGCUGACUGGAUCAAUAUGAACAGAUGGGGCUGAACUUUUGGAUUAUAGGAGGCAAUUGACAGACAAACUGCUAACCAAGAGGCCUCAGAAAUCUUUAUCAAACAAUUAGCUUUUGAUAAUGCAAAUCAAGAUUGUAAAGGCAUCCUUAGACCACCUAAGGCUUCUCCUAGGAUUUCUACAAGUGGACAAGACUGUUAUUAACUCCAAAGAGAUGGCUGCCCUGUACUUUGUGCACAAAGCCACAAGAAUGUUCCAUGAUCGCUUGAUUGAGUUUGCUGAUAAGAACCUCUUCUACCAGUGCCUUUCAAAGGAACUUGAGAAUCCUUUCAG
This is a long non-coding RNA of Erinaceus europaeus (western European hedgehog), 448 nucleotides long. RefSeq lists it as uncharacterized. Lineage: Eukaryota; Metazoa; Chordata; Mammalia; Eulipotyphla; Erinaceidae. The record is from RefSeq and is a predicted model, not a curated record. The transcript is spliced from 3 exons.